This 578-nucleotide long non-coding RNA is filed under the name Sorghum bicolor (sorghum). RNAcentral describes it as "long non-coding RNA (SBIC_LNC001828)". The record is from RNAcentral. Lineage: Eukaryota; Viridiplantae; Streptophyta; Magnoliopsida; Poales; Poaceae.
CUUGCAAGCUACGCUAAGGUGAAGAUUGAGCCUCAGCUUGAGCUUGAAGUCAACUUGUUGAAAGGAUUACUACUUCAAGCUGCGCAGUGUUUGUUGGCGGAGGCGGAGCGGCGUCGCUUGUCGGUGGUGGCCGGCGGUGGCGGGUGCGGGUGCGGGCGGAAGAGGCGCUCGAGCUCGUCGAGGCGGAGGCUGAUGAGAGGGACGGAGGAGGGGUCUGCAGCAGGCUGAUCCCCCUGGAAGAGGCGCUUCCUGCACGGCGGCUUCCUGGGCGCCGGAGGGCACGUGGUGGGCUCCCUGAGGUAGGAGAUCCUGCUGCCCGUCGGCGUCCUGCAAUCGUAGUCGUAGUCGUCGCCGAACACGAGCGGCGGGAGCGCGGCGCAGGCCGGCGAGAAGGCCGGCGCGCCGGCGGGCUUGAAGAACUCGGGCGAGGCGGACAUGGUGGCCGGCUUGUUGUUACCUUGUUGGCAGCGAGGUGGUGGUGGUGCAGGUGAGCCUGAGGCAAGGAGCAGAGCAGAGCGAGUGGUAGCAGCCACGUCACACGAGCGAGCGAGGUGGACUGGUGGUGGUGGUGGUGGUGG